UACAGAGGGUGCGAGCGUUGUCCGGAAUCACUGGGCGUAAAGGGCGCGUAGGUGGCGACCCAAGUCGAUGGUGAAAGCUCGCCGCUCAACGGCGAGUCGGCCACCGAUACUGGGUUGCUGGAGCACUGUAGAGGCAGAUGGAAUUCCGGGUGUAGCGGUGGAAUGCGUAGAGAUCCGGAAGAACACCGGUGGCGAAGGCGGCGACCUGGGUAGAUACUGACGCUGAGGUGCGAAAGCGUGGGGAGCAAACAGG
Molecule: ribosomal RNA, 253 nt
Filed under: uncultured bacterium
Lineage: Bacteria
Description: partial 16S ribosomal RNA
Rfam family: Bacterial small subunit ribosomal RNA
Source: RNAcentral